This 305-nucleotide ribosomal RNA is filed under the name uncultured bacterium. RNAcentral describes it as "partial 16S ribosomal RNA". It matches the Rfam family "Bacterial small subunit ribosomal RNA", at positions 508 to 807 of the family's 1533-position model. The record is from RNAcentral.
ACAGCAGUCGCCGCGGGAACACGAAGGGUGCAAGCGUUACUCGGAAUUACUGGGCGUAAAGCGUGCGUAGGUGGUGGUUUAAGUCCGUUGUGAAAGCCCUGGGCUCAACCUGGGAAUUGCAGUGGAUACUGGGUCACUAGAGUGUGGUAGAGGAUAGUGGAAUUUCCGGUGUAGCAGUGAAAUGCGUAGAGAUCGGAAGGAACAUCUGUGGCGAAGGCGACUAUCUGGGCCAACACUGACACUGAGGCACGAAAGCGUGGGGAGCAAACAGGAUUAGAUACCCCGGUAGUCCCUGUCUCUUAUAC